GCAGUAGAGCCAAAAAAUUCAUACAGCCAAACCACUAAAUAAUCUCCGAGAGAUUUCCCAACCACUGAAUAAUCGAGAGACUGAGCAGAGAAUCGAGAGAGGAGAAUCUUCGAGCAAUUGGGAUUUUUGGCGAGAGAGGCUGAGCAGAGAAUUGAGAGACUGGGCAGAGAGAAUCGAGAGAUUGAGCGAUUGUGAUUUCGUGGAG
This 205-nucleotide long non-coding RNA is filed under the name Daucus carota (carrot). RNAcentral's name for it is "long non-coding RNA (DCAR_LNC004124)". The record is from RNAcentral. Lineage: Eukaryota; Viridiplantae; Streptophyta; Magnoliopsida; Apiales; Apiaceae.